RNAcentral lists this ribosomal RNA (240 nucleotides) under uncultured bacterium. RNAcentral's name for it is "partial 16S ribosomal RNA". It matches the Rfam family "Bacterial small subunit ribosomal RNA", at positions 537 to 776 of the family's 1533-position model. The record is from RNAcentral.
AGCGUUGUUCGGAAUUACUGGGCGGAAAGGGCUCGUAGGUGGCCAACUAAGUCAGACGUGAAAUCCCCAGGCUCAACUUGGGAACUGCGUCUGAUACUGGAUGGCUUGAAUUCGGGAGAGGGAUGCAGAAUUCCAGGUGUAGCGGUGAAAUGCGUAGAUAUCUGGAGGAAUACCGGUGGCGAAGGCGGCUUCCUGGACCGAGACUGACGCUGAUGAGCGAAAGCGAGGGGAGCAAACGGG